This 201-nucleotide unclassified non-coding RNA is filed under the name uncultured Ascomycota. RNAcentral describes it as "sequence contains 5.8S rRNA gene, ITS2, 28S rRNA gene". Lineage: Eukaryota; Fungi; Ascomycota. The record is from RNAcentral.
AACGCACAUUGCGCCCGCUGGCCUCCAGCGGGCAUGCCCGUCCGAGCGUCUGCUGACCCUCAGACUCUUUCAAGUCUAGCGUUGGGGUUUGUGAGCCACAACCCUGAAAAGCAGCAAACUUUUUAGCACCCUGCGUAGUAAGCCUCGCACCGGUGCCAAACUCAAGACCUCGGAUCGGGUAGGGAUACCCGCUGAACUUAA